Molecule: non-coding RNA, 73 nt
Organism: Podarcis lilfordi (Lilford's wall lizard)
Lineage: Eukaryota; Metazoa; Chordata; Lepidosauria; Squamata; Lacertidae
Source: the annotation of a GenBank genome assembly
GUCAGCUGGCGCAACGGGUCAGUGUGUCCAGCUGUUAACCGGAAGAUUGGUGGUUCGAGUCCAGCCAAGGACA